UCCUCGCCGCUGCCGCUAGGGAGCACUGUUACCAGACAGGGCCAAGCCGGGAGGCGGGGUCCAAGGCCGGGCGGCGGCCAGGCGGGGGCGGGUGGAGGCGUUCGACUUCUUAGUCCACUCAGCUCCUUGGCCACUUCGGGUCGAGACCCGCUGAGUGCCAGGUUCGCAGGAAUGCUGACGUCUCAUCUAUGUGGGCUCUCCAAAACUGCUCAGGAUUUAAAGGCUUCCCCAUUGACUGAGACACAAUAUUGAAAUCACCCCAAUUAAUAAUCCUACAAUGGCCUCUAAGUGUUCAAGUAAAAGGAUGAAUUACACAUCUGUCACUUUAAAUCAAAAGGUAGAAAUUAAUACUCUUAGUGAAUAAGGCAUGUCAAAAGCCUAUUGAUAGGCUGAAAGCUUGGCCUCUUGCACCAAAGAGCACAUUUGUGAGUGCAAGGAAAAAGUUCUUAAAAAUUGAAAGUACUACUCCAGUGACACAUCAAUGAUAAUAAAGUGAGACAGCCUUAUUGCAGAUUUGGGGAAAGUUUUAGUGGUAUGGACAGAAGAUCACACCAGUCAUAACAUUCCCUUAGGCCAACACCCAAGCCACCAAUUCUACAAAAGCGGAGAAAGGAGGAAGCCUCAGCAGAAAAGUCUGAUGCUGGUAGAGGUUGUUUCAUAAGGUUUAAGCCAUCUCCAUGACAUACAAGUGCAAGGUGAAGCAGCAAGUUAUCCAGAAGAACUAACUAAGGUAAUUAAUAAAGAUGGCUAUACUCAACAACAGACUUUCAAUGUAGAUGGAACAGCCUUCCAUUGGAAAAUGUCAUUUAGGACUUUUUACACCUAGUGAAAAAAAGUCCAUGCCUGGCUUCAAAGCUUCAAAAGACAGGCUGACUCUCUUGUUAGGGCAUAACAUAGCGAAUAACUUUCAGUUGAAGCCAGUGGUCCUUUACCAUUCUGAAAAUCCUAGGGCCCUUAAGAAUUAUGCUAAAUCUACUCUAACUGUGCUCUACAAAUGGAACAACAAAGCCUGGAUGGUAGCACAUCUGUUUAUAGUAUGGCUUACUGAAUACUUUAAGCCUACUGUUGAGACCUACUGCUCAGAGAAAAAAGUCUUCUCAAAAUAUUACUGCUCAUUGGCAAUGUUCCUGGUCACUCAAGAACUCUGAUGGAGAUACACAAUGAGACAAACAUGUUCAUACCUGCUAAAAGAACACUCGUUCCACAGCCAGCCCACGGUUCAAGGAGUCACUUUGACUUUAAAUCUUACUAUUUAAGAAAUAUGUUUUGUAAGGCUAUACCUGCCAUAAUACAGUGGUUCCUCUGAUGGAUCUAGGCAAGGUAAAUCAAAAAUUUUCUGGAAAGGAUUCACCAUUCUAGAUCCAUUAAGAACAUUCGUGACUCAUGGGAAGAGGUCAAAUAUCAACAUUAACAGGAGUCUGGAAGAAGGUGAUUCCUACCCUUGUGAAUGACUUCAAGGGGUUCAAGAUUUUAGUGGAGGAAGUCACUGCAGAUGUGGUGGGAACAGCAAGAGAACUAAAAUUAAAAGUGAAGUCUGAAGGUGUGACUAACAUUGAUGCAAUCUCAUGAUAAAACUUGAAUGGAUGAGUUGUUCCUUAUGAUGAUCAAAGAAAGUGGUUUCUUGGGAUGGAAUCUACUCCUAGUGAAGAUAAUGUGCAGACUGUUGAAAUGAUAGCAAAGGAUUUCAAGUAUUACAUACUAAUUGAUAAAGCAGCAGCAGGAUUUUGGAGGAUUGACUCCAAUUUUGAAAGAAGUUCUGUUGGUAAAAUGCUAUCAAACAGCACUGCAUGCCUCAGAGAAAUCGUUCUGUGAAAAUCAAUCAAUGUGACAGACUUCACUGUUGUCCUAUUUUAAGAAACUGCUACAGCCACCCAACCUUCACAACUACCUCCCUGGUCAGUCAGCAGGCACUCUCCACCAGCAAAAAGAUUUUGGCUCACUUAAAGCUCAGGUGACGGCAUUUUUUAGCAAUAAAGUAUUUUUUUAUUUAUUUUUAA
Lynx canadensis (Canada lynx) is the source of this 1997-nucleotide long non-coding RNA. RefSeq lists it as uncharacterized. The record is from RefSeq and is a predicted model, not a curated record. Lineage: Eukaryota; Metazoa; Chordata; Mammalia; Carnivora; Felidae. The transcript is spliced from 2 exons.